GACGAACGCUGGCGGCGUGCUUAACACAUGCAAGUCGAACGGAAAGGCCCUGCUUUUGUGGGGUGCUCGAGUGGCGAACGGGUGAGUAACACGUGAGUAACCUGCCCUUGACUUUGGGAUAACUUCAGGAAACUGGGGCUAAUACCGGAUAGGAGCUCCUGCUGCAUGGUGGGGGUUGGAAAGUUUCGGCGGUUGGGGAUGGACUCGCGGCUUAUCAGCUUGUUGGUGGGGUAGUGGCUUACCAAGGCUUUGACGGGUAGCCGGCCUGAGAGGGUGACCGGCCACAUGGGGACUAGGAUACGGCCCAGACCCCUACGGGAGGCAGCAGUGGGGAAUAUUGCACAAGGGGCGGAAGCCUGAUGCAGCAACGCCGCGUGCGGGAUGACGGCCUUCGGGUGGUAAACCGCUUUCGCCUGUGACGAAGCGUGAGUGACGGUAAUGGGUAAAGAAGCACCGGCUAACUACGG
This 467-nucleotide ribosomal RNA is filed under the name uncultured bacterium. Its description in RNAcentral is "partial 16S ribosomal RNA". It matches the Rfam family "Bacterial small subunit ribosomal RNA", at positions 28 to 506 of the family's 1533-position model. The record is from RNAcentral.